Molecule: ribosomal RNA, 465 nt
Filed under: Vreelandella stevensii
Lineage: Bacteria; Pseudomonadati; Pseudomonadota; Gammaproteobacteria; Oceanospirillales; Halomonadaceae
Description: partial 16S ribosomal RNA
Rfam family: Bacterial small subunit ribosomal RNA
Source: RNAcentral
CCUACGGGCGGCAGCAGUGGGGAAUAUUGGACAAUGGGCGAAAGCCUGAUCCAGCCAUGCCGCGUGUGUGAAGAAGGCCUUCGGGUUGUAAAGCACUUUCAGUGGGGAAGAAAGCCUUGGGGCUAAUACCCUCGAGGAAGGACAUCACCCACAGAAGAAGCACCGGCUAACUCCGUGUCAGCAGCCGCGGUAAUACGGAGGGUGCGAGCGUUAAUCGGAAUUACUGGGCGUAAAGCGCGCGUAGGCGGUCUGAUAAGCCGGUUGUGAAAGCCCCGGGCUCAACCUGGGAACGGCAUCCGGAACUGUCAGGCUAGAGUGCAGGAGAGGAAGGUAGAAUUCCCGGUGUAGCAGUGAAAUGCGUAGAGAUCGGGAGGAAUACCAGUGGCGAAGGCGGCCUUCUGGACUGACACUGACGCUGAGGUGCGAAAGCGUGGGUAGCAAACAGGAUUAGAUACCCGUGUAGUC